CGACGUCAAGUCAUCAUGCCCCUUACGUGUAGGGCUACACACGUGCUACAAUGGCAUUUACAGAGGGAAGCGAGACAGUGAUGUGGAGCGGACCCCUUAAAGAAUGUCGUAGUCCAGAUUGGAGUCUGCAACUCGACUCCAUGAAGUCGGAAUCGCUAGUAAUCGCAGGUCAGAAUACUGCGGUGAAUACGUUCCCGGGCCUUGUACACACCGCCCGUCACACCAUGGAGUGGGAUGCAAAAGAAGUAGUUAGUCUAACCUUCGGGAGGACGAUUACCACUUUGUGUUUCAUGACUGGGGUGAAGUCGUAACAAGGUAACCCUAGGGGAACCUGGGGUUGGAUCACCUCCUUACCAUUACGUCGAUAGACGCACUUGAUGCAGUGCCUACACAGAUUGUUUUGUUUAUUUAUAAAGACUCACUUCGCGAGUGUCGCGAUUAAUUGCUUUACUGGAAGCCGAGCUUCCUGACAAUUAAUCUACUCGCUAAAGAAGUGAAACCUAGAUGUUUCAAUGUAGAGUACUAAUUAAUGAUCGCAUCAUUGAUUAGUGUUUUUCGAAGCACUAAUGUUCUUUAACAAUUUGGAAAGCUGAUAUUAAUAGUAAUCAAUCAAAAUUGAGUAACUGAGAAGUCGAAAGACGUACUUUUUACUCUACUUGACUUGAAUUGCUUGUUAUCAACAUUGAUUGAUAGCAAGGCAAUUCUUCCGAUUAGCUUGUCAUGCAUACAACAUUACCCUUGUCCGAUUUCAAAAGGCGGACAUGAGGCCGAUACUCAAGGCUUUUUAGGGUUGUAUGGUUAAGUGACGAAGCGUAUACGGUGGAUGCCUUGGCAGUUAGAGGCGAUGAAGGACGUGUAAGUCUGCGAAAAGCUGUGGUGAGCCGACAA
This 888-nucleotide small RNA is filed under the name uncultured bacterium. RNAcentral describes it as "bacterial SSU rRNA". The stretch from base 1 to 353 matches the Rfam family "Bacterial small subunit ribosomal RNA", at positions 1180 to 1533 of the family's 1533-position model. The record is from RNAcentral.